RNAcentral lists this ribosomal RNA (253 nucleotides) under uncultured bacterium. Its description in RNAcentral is "partial 16S ribosomal RNA". It matches the Rfam family "Bacterial small subunit ribosomal RNA", at positions 524 to 776 of the family's 1533-position model. The record is from RNAcentral.
UACGGAGGGAGCUAGCGUUGUUCGGAAUUACUGGGCGUAAAGCGCACGUAGGCGGCUUUGUAAGUUAGAGGUGAAAGCCCGGGGCUCAACCCCGGAAUUGCCUUUAAGACUGCAUCGCUUGAAUCCGGGAGAGGUGAGUGGAAUUCCGAGUGUAGAGGUGAAAUUCGUAGAUACUCGGAAGAACACCAGUGGCGAAGGCGGCUCACUGGACCGGUAUUGACGCUGAGGUGCGAAAGCGUGGGGAGCAAACAGG